RNAcentral lists this ribosomal RNA (634 nucleotides) under Geobacillus kaustophilus. Its description in RNAcentral is "bacterial SSU rRNA". It matches the Rfam family "Bacterial small subunit ribosomal RNA", at positions 61 to 674 of the family's 1533-position model. Lineage: Bacteria; Bacillati; Bacillota; Bacilli; Caryophanales; Anoxybacillaceae. The record is from RNAcentral.
GUCGAGCGGACCAAAUCGGAGCUUGCUCUGGUUUGGUCAGCGGCGGACGGGUGAGUAACACGUGGGCAACCUGCCCGCAAGACCGGGAUAACUCCGGGAAACCGGAGCUAAUACCGGAUAACACCGAAGACCGCAUGGUCUUUGGUUGAAAGGCGGCCUUUGGCUGUCACUUGCGGAUGGGCCCGCGGCGCAUUAGCUAGUUGGUGAGGUAACGGCUCACCAAGGCGACGAUGCGUAGCCGGCCUGAGAGGGUGACCGGCCACACUGGGACUGAGACACGGCCCAGACUCCUACGGGAGGCAGCAGUAGGGAAUCUUCCGCAAUGGGCGAAAGCCUGACGGAGCGACGCCGCGUGAGCGAAGAAGGCCUUCGGGUCGUAAAGCUCUGUUGUGAGGGACGAAGGAGCGCCGUUCGAAGAGGGCGGCGCGGUGACGGUACCUCACGAGGAAGCCCCGGCUAACUACGUGCCAGCAGCCGCGGUAAUACGUAGGGGGCGAGCGUUGUCCGGAAUUAUUGGGCGUAAAGCGCGCGCAGGCGGUUCCUUAAGUCUGAUGUGAAAGCCCACGGCUCAACCGUGGAGGGUCAUUGGAAACUGGGGGACUUGAGUGCAGGAGAGGAGAGCGGAAUUCCACGU